Molecule: ribosomal RNA, 492 nt
Filed under: uncultured bacterium
Lineage: Bacteria
Description: partial 16S ribosomal RNA
Rfam family: Bacterial small subunit ribosomal RNA
Source: RNAcentral
AGUGAACGCUGGCGGUAGGCCUAACACAUGCAAGUCGAACGGCAGCACAGUAAGAGCUUGCUCUUACGGGUGGCGAGUGGCGGACGGGUGAGGAAUACAUCGGAAUCUACUUUUUCGUGGGGGAUAACGUAGGGAAACUUACGCUAAUACCGCAUACGACCUACGGGUGAAAGUAGGGGAUCUUCGGACCUUGCGCGAUUGAAUGAGCCGAUGUCGGAUUAGCUAGUUGGCGGGGUAAAGGCCCACCAAGGCGACGAUCCGUAGCUGGUCUGAGAGGAUGAUCAGCCACACUGGAACUGAGACACGGUCCAGACUCCUACGGGAGGCAGCAGUGGGGAAUAUUGGACAAUGGGCGCAAGCCUGAUCCAGCAAUACCGCGUGGGUGAAGAAGGCCUUCGGGUUGUAAAGCCAUUUUGUUGGGAAAGAAAAGCAGCAGGUUAAUACCCCGCUGUUCUGACGGUACCCAAAGAAUAAGCACCGGCUAACUUCGUG